GUUCUAUCGCAUAGGCAGUUGAGUCCCUGAGUUGCGCUUCAGGUAUAAGUUGUCCACGCUUCACUCUCACGCACUGGGGUGAGAUCUACCAUUUGAUCUUGAAAAUCUCCCUUAAUGUCCAGGGAAGGGAAACCAGCCAGGUUAUGCCUUUAAAGGGCUCGUGCCUUGUCCUUGAAAGAGCUCUUGCCCAGAUGUCAGACACUAGUCGCAACAGUCACAGCCCACCACCUGUCUCCGAGUUCCAAUGCGUCUUGAUCGCC
Ictalurus punctatus (channel catfish) is the source of this 260-nucleotide long non-coding RNA. The record is from Ensembl. NCBI's taxonomy places the organism in Eukaryota, Metazoa, Chordata, Actinopteri, Siluriformes, Ictaluridae.